CCUACGGGAGGCAGCAUUGAGGAAUAUUGGUCAAUGGGCGCGAGCCUGAACCAGCCAAGUCGCGUGAGGGAAGACGGUCCUAUGGAUUGUAAACCUCUUUUGUCGGGGAGCAAAAGACGCCACGCGUGGCGUUCCGAGAGUACCCGAAGAAAAAGCAUCGGCUAACUCCGUGCCAGCAGCCGCGGUAAUACGGAGGAUGCGAGCGUUAUCCGGAUGUAUUGGGUUUAAAGGGUGCGCAGGCGGAAGAUCAAGUCAGCGGUAAAAUUGAGAGGCUCAACCUCGUCGAGCCGUUGAAACUGGUUUUCUUGAGUGAGCGAGAAGUAUGCGGAAUGCGUGGUGUAGCGGUGAAAUGCAUAGAUAUCACGCAGAACUCCGAUUGCGAAGGCAGCAUACCGGCGCUCAACUGACGCUCAUGCACGAAAGUGUGGGUAUCGAACAGGAUUAGAUACCCGGGUAGUC
RNAcentral lists this ribosomal RNA (459 nucleotides) under uncultured bacterium. RNAcentral's name for it is "partial 16S ribosomal RNA". It matches the Rfam family "Bacterial small subunit ribosomal RNA", at positions 338 to 795 of the family's 1533-position model. The record is from RNAcentral.